UUGAAAAAUUUUUAUAAAAAAAGAAAAAUUUUUUUUUUGUACCUUGUGUAUCAGGGUUUAUUAAAUAAUUAAUAAUAAUUUUAUUAUUUUCGAUUUUAUAAGAGUUAAUAAUUUACUAAAUUUAGUGUAUUAAAAUUAUUUUUAAUAAGUUAUUAGAAAUGAAAUGUUAUUCGUUUAUAAAGGUAUCUAGUUUUUUUAGAAAUAAAUUUAAUUUAUAAAUUUUUAAUUUUUUUAUUUUUUAUAAAAUAGAAAAAAAUAUUAAUUUAGAUAUUUUAAGGGAUAAGCUUUAAAAUAAAUUAUUAUAAUUUACUAAAUUAUUAUUUAAAAUAUAUGCUUAGAAUUAGCAAUUAUUUAUAAUAUUGUUAUAAAUUAUUUUAUUAAUAUAAUAUUUAAUUAAUUUUAAUAUUUUUAUAAAAAUUUUUUUUUUAAUUUAUAUUAAAAAGUAUUAAUGAUAAAAUUAGUAUAUUAUUUAUAUGUAAUAAAUAAAUUUAUUUGAUAAGUUUAUAUAAAGAACUCGGCAAAUAUUAUACUCGCCUGUUUCACAAAAACAUGUCUUUUUGAGUUAUUUUUAAAGUCUAACCUGCCCAAUGAAAAAUUUUUAAUGGCCGCAGUAUUCUAACUGUGCAAAGGUAGCAUAAUCAUUAGUCUUUUAAUUGAAGGCUUGUAUGAAUGGUUGGACGAAGUAUAAACUGUUUCAUUUAAAUUUAUAAUAGAAUUUUAUUUUUUAGUAAAAAAGCUAAAAUAUAAUUAAAAGACGAGAAGACCCUAUAAAUCUUUAUAUUAUAAUUUAUUUCUUUUUUUUUGAUUUUUUAAAAUUUAAUAAUUUAUAAUAUUUUGUUGGGGUGAUAUUAAAAUUUAAAAAACUUUUAAUUUAAUUUUUACAUUAAUUUAUGAUUUAUUGAUCCUUUAAUAAUGAUUAUAAGAAUAAGUUACUUUAGGGAUAACAGCGUAAUUUUUUUGGAGAGUUCUUAUCGAUAAAAAAGUUUGCGACCUCGAUGUUGGAUUAAGAGAUAUUUUUAGGUGUA
This 1025-nucleotide ribosomal RNA is filed under the name Chaetostomella cylindrica. RNAcentral describes it as "partial 16S ribosomal RNA". Lineage: Eukaryota; Metazoa; Arthropoda; Insecta; Diptera; Tephritidae. The record is from RNAcentral.